UCGGGAAUAUUGCGCAAUGGAGGAAACUCUGACGCAGUGACGCCGCGUAUAGGAAGAAGGUUUUCGGAUUGUAAACUAUUGUCGUUAGGGAAGAGAAAGGACAGUACCUAAGGAGGAAGCUCCGGCUAACUACGUGCCAGCAGCCGCGUAAUACGUAGGGAGCGAGCGUUAUCCGGAAUUAUUGGGUGUAAAGGGUGCGUAGACGGGAGAACAAGUUAGUUGUGAAAUACCUCGGCUCAACUGAGGAACUGCAACUAAAACUGUACUUCUUGAGUGCAGGAGAGGUAAGUGGAAUUCCUAGUGUAGCGGUGAAAUGCGUAGAUAUUAGGAGGAACACCAGUGGCGAAGGCGACUUACUGGACUGUAACUGACGUUGAGGCACGAAAGCAUGGGUAGCAAACAGGAUUAGAUACC
RNAcentral lists this ribosomal RNA (414 nucleotides) under uncultured bacterium. RNAcentral describes it as "bacterial SSU rRNA". It matches the Rfam family "Bacterial small subunit ribosomal RNA", at positions 355 to 786 of the family's 1533-position model. The record is from RNAcentral.